GUCUAUGACGAUGCCACCCUGAACAAGCCCGAUGCCGUCUGAUCUUGGAAGCUAAGCAGGGUCGGGCCUGGUUAGUACUUACUUGCAUGGGAGACCACCUAGGAAGACCAGGUGCUGCAGGUG
This is a ribosomal RNA of Pteropus vampyrus (large flying fox), 123 nucleotides long. The record is from Ensembl. Lineage: Eukaryota; Metazoa; Chordata; Mammalia; Chiroptera; Pteropodidae.